AAACCGGACGAUUUAAAUACAAA
RNAcentral lists this small nuclear RNA (23 nucleotides) under Arabidopsis thaliana (thale cress). RNAcentral describes it as "snRNA_00338". Lineage: Eukaryota; Viridiplantae; Streptophyta; Magnoliopsida; Brassicales; Brassicaceae. The record is from RNAcentral.